Molecule: long non-coding RNA, 975 nt
Organism: Lagenorhynchus albirostris (white-beaked dolphin)
Lineage: Eukaryota; Metazoa; Chordata; Mammalia; Artiodactyla; Delphinidae
Exons: 3
Source: RefSeq, a predicted model, not a curated record
CUCUCCCAGCUCCGGCGGAAGGCUCACCCUCCAGCCCGGCUCAUCGGCCGCGCCCACUGCGCGCAGGUCCCCGCUGCCCCUGCCAGGUCCCAGAUGUUAAAGCUCUUUGCCUGCCGUAGCAUGGGCCGACACAGCUGUGCGUGGGUCACAGAGGGCGCGCACACCCAGCCCUUCCCCUGAGCAGACGCUGGCCUCCGCCUGCCCCGCCGGCUCUCCUGCCUCCAGCUGCGGCCCCUGCUCCUCCAGCUGUGCUUAGCUUCCGGAACCUACUCUUCAGGGUUCGUCCUUGCAAAAUUGGAGAAAGGAAGAAGAGGCUUAAGAAAUGGCUGCGUCCCCUUUAAGACCUGCCCUCUUCCUUUUCCUUUUCUUCCCUCCUCCCCUUUCCAUCGGUUCGUACCAAAGUAAAGAGGGAGGAGAGGGGGCAAAGAACCAUCAACGCUGAGCAAAGGAAGGAACUUAAAAGGAGAGGUCAAAAGAGAAGGAGGCCUAGAGAGAGAACUGACACAGUUCUUCAAGGCCGCGGGGAAUGGUGGUGUGUUGGGUUUGGGAGAAGUGGGCUCGUUUCUCAGCCUAACCUGAGCUUCCGCUGUCCCCAGGGGGAUGGCAUCCACUGCUACCAGGAAUGUGGAGGAAAAGGGCAGCGGGCAGUCCCAAGCCACAGACUCUGCAGCCUGCUUGGGUGGAGGUCCGGGAGCUCUGCCUAGCAACUUGACAUCUGGAGGAUGAUCCCAACUCUGGUGCUGCUCUUGGCCUCUCGUGCCCUCUCCCCACUCUGUUCCUCUAGAACAUGCACCAAAGGUCCUCUUUCACAACUCAUUCAACAGUUUGGUUUUGGGGCAAUUCCUGGUCAUGAGCAACAUCACCCCUGAAGCCUCCAAAGGGUUCUGGAACCAUCACACACCUCUUCACCCUCAGCUAGCAAGGACACCACCAGAAAUCAAAAACUUUAAUAAAGUGACAGAGAUCCUUCCCUCC